Molecule: long non-coding RNA, 846 nt
Organism: Actinia tenebrosa (Australian red waratah sea anemone)
Lineage: Eukaryota; Metazoa; Cnidaria; Anthozoa; Actiniaria; Actiniidae
Source: RefSeq, a predicted model, not a curated record
AAUAGGCUUUUCCCAAGAUACAUUUUUCAUUGUUAGAUAGUCCAUUAAGAAAAGGCUACGGUAAGUAACUUUAGAUUCGUUGAGCACUGAACGGUAUCUUGAAAUAGAUUUAUUGUGUUGUCCUCCAUGUUGGUGAUAUGAUUGAGCAAAGAAACGACGAUGGAACACGGAAUAAGUCAAGAAUCUGGCUGGAUUCAACUCCAAGAUGCCUGGUACGUUAUGUUUACAAAACAACUUCAGACAUAAAACGACAUUGUACAAAACCAUGCAAAUUAUUAAUGGACGUGAAGAUGAGAAGAUGCUGUUGCUAUGGUUUAGAAGAGGAAACGCAUUUUCUCAGAGAAGAUGGCGGACGCGGUGUUCACACCCAACCGAAGUUCAACUGAAGUCUCAUAACAACAUUGUACGAAACAUGCAAAUAAUGGACGUGAAGAUGAAAAGAUGAAAGGAUGCUGUGUACACACCAAACCAAAGUUCAUCUCAAAUGAAACUGUACGGCCGUAUCAUCAUAUCUACAGAUGUGAGUGUGACAUAGAUGGAUAUCAGUCAGGAUGUACUAGGAAUUAAGGUGCAACAGAUUUCAAGUGUCAUCCUAUUCAGCUGACUAUGGGCAGGAAGUUUUUGAUAAUAAAAGUGACACUUCAUGCAAUAGAUGAUAAUGGUGCUAGUAUGGACGACAUUAAAUGCAAGAUUGAUCUUUAAUUGACAGUUGAAGUGCAUGUGAAGCCAACAUCAGCGAUGACAAACAAAGAAUUAACACAGCAUCUGAGUCAAGUAGUASGGGCUGGCAGGUAGUUAUUAGUGUUUAAGGUAGUUGGGGGCAUCAGGUUGACAGGUAGAUGUCUG